RNAcentral lists this ribosomal RNA (491 nucleotides) under uncultured bacterium. Its description in RNAcentral is "partial 16S ribosomal RNA". It matches the Rfam family "Bacterial small subunit ribosomal RNA", at positions 29 to 506 of the family's 1533-position model. The record is from RNAcentral.
AGUGAACGCUGGCGGUAGGCCUAACACAUGCAAGUCGAACGGCAGCACAGUAAGAGCUUGCUCUUACGUGUGGCUAGUUUCGGACGGGUGAGGAAUACAUCGGAAUCUACUUUUUCGUUGGGGCUAACGUAGUGAAACUUACGCUAAUACCGCAUACGACCUACGGGUGAAAGCAGUGGAUCUUCGGACCUUGCGCGUUUGAAUGAGCCGAUGUCGGAUUAUCUAGUUGGCGGGGUAAAGGCCCACCAAGGCGACGAUCCGUAGCUGGUCUGAGAGGAUGAUCAGCCACAAUGGAACGGAGACACGGUACAGAAUCCGAAGGGAGGCAGCAGUGGGGAAGAUUGGAGAAUGGGCGCAAGCCUGAUACAGCCAUACCGCGGGGGUGAAGAAGGCCUUCGGGUUGUAAAGACGUUUUGUGGGGAGAGAAAAGCAGCAGGUUAAUACCCCGCUGUUCUGACGGUAAACAAAGAAUAAGCACCGGCUAACUACGU